UACGUAGGGUGCAAGCGUUGUCCGGAAUUAUUGGGCGUAAAGAGCUCGUAGGCGGUCUGUCGCGUCGGCUGUGAAAACCCGGAGCUCAACUCCGGGCCUGCAGUCGAUACGGGCAGACUGGAGUUCGGCAGGGGAGACUGGAAUUCCGGGUGUAGCGGUGGAAUGCGUAGAGAUCCGGAAGAACACCGGUGGCGAAGGCGGCCUGCUGGGCAGUAGCUGAGGAGCGAAAGCGUGGGGAGCAAACAGG
This 247-nucleotide ribosomal RNA is filed under the name uncultured bacterium. Its description in RNAcentral is "partial 16S ribosomal RNA". It matches the Rfam family "Bacterial small subunit ribosomal RNA", at positions 524 to 776 of the family's 1533-position model. The record is from RNAcentral.